GACGAACGCUGGCGGCGUGCUUAACACAUGCAAGUCGAACGGAAAGGCCAGUGCUUGCACUGGUACUCGAGUGGCGAACGGGUGAGUAACACGUGGGUGAUCUGCCUUGCACUCUGGGAUAAGCUUGGGAAACUGGGUCUAAUACCGGAUAUGAACUGCCUUUAGUGUGGUGGUUGGAAAGUUUUUUCGGUGCAAGAUGAGCUCGCGGCCUUUCAGCUUGUUGGUGGGGUAAUGGCCUACCAAGGCGUCGACGGGUAGCCGGCCUGAGAGGGUGUACGGCCACAUUGGGACUGAGAUACGGCCCAGACUCCUACGGGAGGCAGCAGUGGGGAAUAUUGCACAAUGGGCGGAAGCCUGAUGCAGCGACGCCGCGUGGGGGAUGACGGCCUUCGGGUUGUAAACUCCUUUCGACAGGGACGAAGCGUAAGUGACGGUACCUGUAUAAGAAGCACCGGCUAACUACGUG
This 466-nucleotide ribosomal RNA is filed under the name uncultured bacterium. Its description in RNAcentral is "partial 16S ribosomal RNA". It matches the Rfam family "Bacterial small subunit ribosomal RNA", at positions 28 to 507 of the family's 1533-position model. The record is from RNAcentral.